Molecule: ribosomal RNA, 451 nt
Filed under: uncultured bacterium
Lineage: Bacteria
Description: partial 16S ribosomal RNA
Rfam family: Bacterial small subunit ribosomal RNA
Source: RNAcentral
GAUGAACGCUGGCGGCGUGCCUAAUACAUGCAAGUCGAACGAGGUCUUCGGACCUAGUGGCGAACGGGUGAGUAACACGUUGGUACCUACCUCGAAGUGGGGAAUAACUGCCCGAAAGGGUGGCUAAUACCGCAUAAUACCGCAAGGUUAAAGCAGUAAUGCGCUUCGGGAGGGGCCUGCGUCCCAUUAGCUAGUUGGUAGGGUAAUGGCCUACAAAGGCGACGAUGGGUAGCUGGAGCGAGAGGUUGACCAGCCACACUGGGACUGAGAUACGGCCCAGACUCCUACGGGAGGCAGCAGUAAGGAAUCUGCCACAAUGGACGAAAGUCUGAUGGAGCAACGCCGCGUGCAGGAUGAUGGCCUGCGGGUUGUAAACUGCUUUUAUACGGGAAGAUUAUGACGGUACCGUAUGAAUAAGGACCGGCUAACUACGUGCCAGCCGCCGCGGUAA